RNAcentral lists this ribosomal RNA (251 nucleotides) under uncultured prokaryote. RNAcentral describes it as "partial 16S ribosomal RNA". It matches the Rfam family "Bacterial small subunit ribosomal RNA", at positions 525 to 775 of the family's 1533-position model. The record is from RNAcentral.
UCAGAGACGGCAAGCGUUGUUCGGAUUCACUGGGCGUAAAGGGUCCGCAGGUGGCAAAGCAAGUCUGGCGUGAAAUCCCGCGGCUUAACCGCGGAACUGCGUUGGAUACUGCUCUGCUAGAGGACGGCAGAGGAGACUGGAAUUCACGGUGUAGCGGUGAAAUGCGUAGAUAUCGUGAGGAACACCGGUGGCGAAGGCGAGUCUCUGGACCGUUCCUGACACUCAGGGACGAAAGCGUGGGGAGCAAACGG